UGACGCUCAUGGACGAAAGCCAGGGGAGCGAAAGGGAUUAGAUACCCCUGUAGUCCUGGCCGUAAACGAUGAACACUAGGUGUCGGGGGAAUCGACCCCUUCGGUGUCGUAGCUAACGCGUUAAGUGUUCCGCCUGGGGAGUACGCACGCAAGUGUGAAACUCAAAGGAAUUGACGGGGGCCCGCACAAGCGGUGGAGUAUGUGGUUUAAUUCGAUGCAACGCGAAGAACCUUACCAGGGUUUGACAUCCUGCGAACCUCUUAGAAAUUUGAGGGUGCCUUCGGGAAUGCAGUGACAGGUGGUGCGUGGCUGUCGUCAGCUUGUGUCGUGAGAUGUUGGGUUAAGUCCCGCAACGAGCGCAACCCACGUUUUUAGUUGCCAGCAUUUAGUUGGGCACUCUAGAAAGACCGCCGGUGAUAAACCGGAGGAAGGUGUGGAUGACGUCAAGUCAUCAUGCCCCUUACACCCUGGGCUACACACGUACUACAAUGCUACGGACAAAGGGCAGCAAACUCGCGAGAGCUAGCAAAUCCCAUAAACCGUGGCUCAGUUCAGAUCGUAGGCUGCAACUCGCCUACGUGAAGUAGGAAUCGCUAGUAAUCGCAGGUCAGCAUACUGCGGUGAAUACGUUCCCGGGCCUUGUACACACCGCCCGUCACACCAUGGAAGUUGGCCAUGCCCGAAGUCGUUACUCCAACCCUUGUGGAGGAGGACGCCGAAGGUGGGGCUAAUGACUGGGGUGAAGUCGUAACAAGGUAGCC
This 761-nucleotide ribosomal RNA is filed under the name uncultured marine microorganism. Its description in RNAcentral is "bacterial SSU rRNA". It matches the Rfam family "Bacterial small subunit ribosomal RNA", at positions 741 to 1501 of the family's 1533-position model. The record is from RNAcentral.